RNAcentral lists this ribosomal RNA (490 nucleotides) under uncultured bacterium. RNAcentral describes it as "partial 16S ribosomal RNA". It matches the Rfam family "Bacterial small subunit ribosomal RNA", at positions 30 to 507 of the family's 1533-position model. The record is from RNAcentral.
AUUGAACGCUGGCGGCAGGCCUAACACAUGCAAGUCGAACGGUAACAGGAAGAAGCUUGCUUCUUUGCUGACGAGUGGCGGACGGGUGAGUAAUGUCUGGGAAACUGCCUGAUGGAGGGGGAUAACUACUGGAAACGGUAGCUAAUACCGCAUAACGUCGCAAGACCAAAGAGGGGGACCUUCGGGCCUCUUGCCAUCGGAUGUGCCCAGAUGGGAUUAGCUAGUUGGUGGGGUAACGGCUCACCUAGGCGACGAUCCCUAGCUGGUCUGAGAGGAUGACCAGCCACACUGGAACUGAGACACGGUCCAGACUCCUACGGGAGGCAGCAGUGGGGAAUAUUGCACAAUGGGCGCAAGCCUGAUGCAGCCAUGCCGCGUGUAUGAAGAAGGCCUUCGGGUUGUAAAGUACUUUCAGCGGGGAGGAAGGGAGUAAAGUUAAUACCUUUGCUCAUUGACGUUACCCGCAGAAGAAGCACCGGCUAACUCCGUG